GAUGAACGCUAGCGAUAGGCCUAACACAUGCAAGUCGAGGGGCAUCACAUGAAGUAGCAAUACGGAUGGUGGCGACCGGCGCACGGGUGAGUAACACGUAUGCAACCUGCCUUCAACAAGGGGAUAACCCGUUGAAAGACGGACUAAUACCCUAUAACACAGGGGUCCCGCAUGGGAAUAUUUGUUAAAGGACAACCGGUUGAAGAUGGGCAUGCGUUCCAUUAGCUAGUUGGCGGGGUAACGGCCCACCAAGGCAACGAUGGAUAGGGGAACUGAGAGGUUUAUCCCCCACACUGGUACUGAGACACGGACCAGACUCCUACGGGAGGCAGCAGUGAGGAAUAUUGGUCAAUGGACGCAAGUCUGAACCAGCCACGUCGCGUGAAGGAAGACGGCCCUACGGGUUGUAAACUUCUUUUAACGGGAAUAAAGUGCCCCACGCGUGGGGUUUUGCAUGUACCGUAUGAAUAAGGAUCGGCUAACUCCGUGCCAGCAGCCGCGGUAAGUCA
Molecule: ribosomal RNA, 509 nt
Filed under: uncultured bacterium
Lineage: Bacteria
Description: bacterial SSU rRNA
Rfam family: Bacterial small subunit ribosomal RNA
Source: RNAcentral